AUUGAACGCUGGCGGCAGGCCUAACACAUGCAAGUCGAGCGGAUGAAGGGAGCUUGCUCCUGGAUUCAGCGGCGGACGGGGGAGUAAUGCCUAGGAAUCUGCCUGGUAGUGGGGGAUAACGUCCGGAAACGGGCGCUAAUACUGCAUACGUCCUGAGGGAGAAAGUGGGGGAUCGUCGGACCGUACGCUAUCAGAUGAGCCUAGGUCGGAUUAGCUAGUUGGUGGGGUAAAGGCCUACCAAGGCGAAGAUCCGUAACUGGUCUGAGAGGAUGAUCAGUCACACUGGAAGUGAGACACGGUCCAGACUCCUACGGGAGGCAGCAGUGGGGAAUAUUGGACAAUGGGCGAAAGCCUGAUCCAGUCAUGCCGAGUGUGUGAAGAAGGUCUUCGGAUUGUAAAGAACUUUAAGUUGGGAGGAAGGGCAGUAAGUUAAUACCUUGCUGUUUUGACGUUAACAACAGAAUAAGCACCGGCUAACUUCGUG
RNAcentral lists this ribosomal RNA (484 nucleotides) under uncultured bacterium. RNAcentral's name for it is "partial 16S ribosomal RNA". It matches the Rfam family "Bacterial small subunit ribosomal RNA", at positions 30 to 507 of the family's 1533-position model. The record is from RNAcentral.